Molecule: ribosomal RNA, 306 nt
Filed under: uncultured Grosmannia
Lineage: Eukaryota; Fungi; Ascomycota; Sordariomycetes; Ophiostomatales; Ophiostomataceae
Description: partial large subunit ribosomal RNA
Rfam family: Eukaryotic large subunit ribosomal RNA
Source: RNAcentral
AUAUCAAUAAGCGGAGGAAAAGAAACCAACAGGGAUUGCCCCAGUAACGGCGAGUGAAGCGGCAUCAGCUCAGAUUUGAAAUCCGGUCCUUGGACCCGAGUUGUAAUCUGUAGGGGUAGCUUCGGGCGCGGCGUCUUCUGAGUCCCCUGGAACGGGGCGCCAUAGAGGGUGAGAGCCCGUACGGUCGACCGCCAAGCCCAUGUGAAGCUCCUUCGACGAGUCGAGUAGUUUGGGAAUGCUGCUCAAAAUGGGAGGUAAAUUUCUUCUAAAGCUAAAUACCGGCCAGAGACCGAUAGCGCACAAGUA